Long non-coding RNA from Cucurbita maxima (winter squash), 784 nucleotides. RefSeq lists it as uncharacterized. NCBI's taxonomy places the organism in Eukaryota, Viridiplantae, Streptophyta, Magnoliopsida, Cucurbitales, Cucurbitaceae. The record is from RefSeq and is a predicted model, not a curated record. The transcript has 2 exons.
AUAGUGUUGUGGGUGGUGGCUGUGGGGGUGAGGUUAGUCAGUUCCCUUCUACUUAUUUAGGACUUCUUUUGGGUGGUAAUCCUUAAAGUAUAGAUCAUGGGUAUCAAUAUUAGCACAGAGAUCAUUGAAAAAUUUGCUAGCAUUUAUGGUUGUAAAAAGGGAGAAUGACCAAAUAUGUACUUAGGACUACAUCUAAAAGGGAACGACAAAUCCUUUUCCUUUAGGAAGAUUAUUAUUGAGAAAAUAGAAAGAAGGUUGUCAACAUGGUCAUCACGUUAUACUUCAAAAAGUGGAAGACUCACCCUAAUACUUGUCACAUUAUCCAACCUCCCUACUUACUACAUGUCUUUAUUUGAAAUGCCACAAAAAGUGGCCGCGGAUAUAGAAAGACUAUUCAGAAACUACUUGUGGAAAGAUGGCGCACAUCUUGUUGGUUAGAAUAUUAUAAACCUCCCAAUAGAAAAGGGAGGCCUCGGUCUUCUCUCGAUAAGGAAGAAGAACAAAGCUCUCCCCGACAAAUGGAUAUGGAGAUAUCAUCAUGAAGAAAAGGCCUUAUGGUGAAAUCUUAUAAAGACUAAGUGUACUUCUACAUCAAACAAAAAUCACCCCCUCCAUCUUCUACAAAAGGGCCUUUGAAGUACAUAAAGAAACAUCAAAAUCUCAUCACCAACCGAACUCACCAUAAGGUGGGUAAUGGGGGAAGCACAACAUUUUGGACUGACCCAUGGAUUAAAAACACCAUGCUAACCUUGAAGUAUCCACUUUUGUACAGGCUCUCUCAUAG